AGUAACGCGUGAGGAACCUGCCUCAAAGAGGGGACAACAGUUGGAAACGACUGCUAAUACCGCAUAAGCCCACAGCUCGGCAUCGAGCAGAGGGAAAAGGAGUGAUCCGCUUUGAGAUGGCCUCGCGUCCGAUUAGCUAGUUGGUGAGGUAAUGGCCCACCAAGGCGACGAUCGGUAGCCGGACUGAGAGGUUGAACGGCCACAUUGGGACUGAGACACGGCCCAG
RNAcentral lists this ribosomal RNA (226 nucleotides) under uncultured bacterium. RNAcentral's name for it is "partial 16S ribosomal RNA". It matches the Rfam family "Bacterial small subunit ribosomal RNA", at positions 109 to 334 of the family's 1533-position model. The record is from RNAcentral.